UGAUUCCGCAUCCUUCCCAGAUCAGCGUCAUCCAAGCAACCCUCCUAAGCACCGCGUCCGUGAUCGGCUCAUCCCACGCGCUUCCUUCCUUCCGCGACUGGUCCACCAUCCACCGAGGCCAUGAUCGGCUCCUCCCGAGAUCUCGCGGCCGGCCGUGAAGCAUCCCGAAAUACCAGCGCCCCACAGCCGGUUCAGCCCCUCCUCCGCGCUCAUCAUCCACGGAUCUACCCCCCUUGGAAUCCCGGCGACCACAUUCUUCACGCGGUCGAAAUCCCAGCCAUCCGCCCCUUCCGCAUCAGGAGUCCGGCGAUCUCGCUUCCGCGGCCAAAGAGGGAAGUCGACCGGAGCAAUCCGCCACCAUUUCCUCCUCCUUCCCAGCAUCCCGGAUGAUCCGUGAUUCCACCCAAAAUCCAAGUGACCCUGCAGCUAUAAGAGGAGAAGGAGAAAGAGGGGAGCGGUGUGCUCGGUUGGGGUCGGUUCCAAAGAACAGAGGAGGGAGGAGAAGAUGAGCGAGAGGGGAAGAGACUGCCGGUUUGGGUGGUCGGUUCCAAAGAACAGAGGAAGGAGAAGACAAGCGGGUCGGGAGAGGAGUGUUCAUGCUCUGUUUUCAAACAUAGCACAGUGCUUUGUUUUGUUUUGUUUUUUUUCUUUUUCUUUUUCUUUUCAUGAUUAGUUUUAUUUUAAUUAAGAGCAAUGUGUUGUUUUUAGUCUGAAUUUUAAUUGAGAGCAAUGUGUUUUGAGUUUGAGUUUUAAUUGAGAACAAUGUUUUAAGUUUUAACUUUAGAGAAUUUUAUUUUGGUGGAGUGUUUUACUUUUAAGAUUUUAUUUAUGCUGAAAUUUUAAUUUCUUUUAUGCAAUACAUUAAAUCUUCUAUUAUGAAAUUUAUGUUUGCUUCAAUCCUCUUAGUUUCAUCCAUUUUAAUUUUUUGCCAGAGCUUUCUUUUUCAUUAAAUAUAUAAAUGCUUUUUGAAUCUAAGUACAUGUCUUCUAGUUAAUUUCAAUUAAAAAUCAUUCUCCGGUAGACUAGAGAAUCCAUCAACAUCCCUGACGUAAUGUUUUUCUUUUGUUAUUCAAAAAUCGCUUUUGAAUCCGAGGGAACG
Molecule: long non-coding RNA, 1099 nt
Filed under: Phoenix dactylifera (date palm)
Lineage: Eukaryota; Viridiplantae; Streptophyta; Magnoliopsida; Arecales; Arecaceae
Description: long non-coding RNA (PDAC_LNC011202)
Source: RNAcentral